Molecule: ribosomal RNA, 253 nt
Filed under: uncultured bacterium
Lineage: Bacteria
Description: partial 16S ribosomal RNA
Rfam family: Bacterial small subunit ribosomal RNA
Source: RNAcentral
UACGAAGGGGGCUAGCGUUGCUCGGAAUCACUGGGCGUAAAGGGUGCGUAGGCGGGUCUUUAAGUCAGGGGUGAAAUCCUGGAGCUCAACUCCAGAACUGCCUUUGAUACUGAGGAUCUUGAGUUCGGGAGAGGUGAGUGGAACUGCGAGUGUAGAGGUGAAAUUCGUAGAUAUUCGCAAGAACACCAGUGGCGAAGGCGGCUCACUGGCCCGAUACUGACGCUGGGGCACGAAAGCGUGGGGAGCAAACAGG